RNAcentral lists this ribosomal RNA (253 nucleotides) under uncultured bacterium. RNAcentral describes it as "partial 16S ribosomal RNA". It matches the Rfam family "Bacterial small subunit ribosomal RNA", at positions 524 to 776 of the family's 1533-position model. The record is from RNAcentral.
UACAGAGGUCUCAAGCGUUGUUCGGAUUCAUUGGGCGUAAAGGGUGCGUAGGCGGGUUAUUAAGUCAGUGGUGAAAGCCUACAGCUCAACUGUAGAAUUGCCAUUGAUACUGAUGAUCUUGAGUAUGAUUGAGGUGGGCGGAAUGUGUCAUGUAGCGGUGAAAUGCUUAGAUAUGACACAGAACACCGAUUGCGAAGGCAGCUCACUAAGUCAUAACUGACGCUGAUGCACGAAAGCGUGGGGAGCAAACAGG